UACGUAGGGUGCAAGCGUUAAUCGGAAUUACUGGGCGUAAAGCGUGCGCAGGCGGUUUUGUAAGUUUGUCGUGAAAUCCCCGGGCUCAACCUGGGAAUGGCGAUGAAGACUGCAAGGCUAGAAUCUGGCAGAGGGGGGUAGAAUUCCACGUGUGAGCAGUGAAAUGCGUAGAGAUGUGGAGGAAUACCGAUGGCGAAGGCAGCCCCCUGGGCCAAUACUGACGCUCAUGCACGAAAGCGUGGGGAGCAAACAGG
RNAcentral lists this ribosomal RNA (254 nucleotides) under uncultured bacterium. Its description in RNAcentral is "partial 16S ribosomal RNA". It matches the Rfam family "Bacterial small subunit ribosomal RNA", at positions 524 to 776 of the family's 1533-position model. The record is from RNAcentral.